This 422-nucleotide ribosomal RNA is filed under the name uncultured Glomeromycotina. Its description in RNAcentral is "SSU rRNA". It matches the Rfam family "Eukaryotic small subunit ribosomal RNA", at positions 672 to 1092 of the family's 1831-position model. The record is from RNAcentral. Lineage: Eukaryota; Fungi; Glomeromycota.
UGGUAUGCACUGGCUCGCUGACUCCUCCUUCUUGUAGAACCGUAAUGCCAUUAAUUUGGUGUUGCGGGGAAACAGGACUGUUACUUUGAAAAAAUUAGAGUGUUUAAAGCAGGCCAACGCCUGAAUACAUUAGCAUGGAAUAAUGAAAUAGGACGUUCGAACCUAUUUUGUUGGUUUCUAGGAUUGACGUAAUGAUUAAUAGGGAUAGUUGGGGGCAUUAGUAUUCAAUUGUCAGAGGUGAAAUUCUUGGAUUUAUUGAAGACUGACUACUGCGAAAGCAUUUGCCAAGGAUGUUUUCAUUAAUCAAGAACGAAAGUUAGGGGAUCGAAGACGAUCAGAUACCGUCGUAGUCUUAACCAUAAACUAUGCCGACUAGGGAUCGGAUGAUGUUAAUUUUUUAAUGGCUCAUUCGGCGCCUUACG